UACGGAGGGUGCAAGCGUUGUCCGGAUUUAUUGGGUUUAAAGGGUGCGUAGGCGGCCUGUUAAGUCAGGGGUGAAAGACUGCAGCUCAACUGUAGCAGUGCCUUUGAUACUGAUGGGCUUGAGUCUAGAUGAGGCCGGCGGAAUGGGUGGUGUAGCGGUGAAAUGCAUAGAUACCAUCCAGAACACCGAUUGCGAAGGCAGCCGGCUAAACUACAACUGACGCUGAGGCACGAAAGCGUGGGGAUCGAACAGG
RNAcentral lists this ribosomal RNA (253 nucleotides) under uncultured bacterium. RNAcentral's name for it is "partial 16S ribosomal RNA". It matches the Rfam family "Bacterial small subunit ribosomal RNA", at positions 524 to 776 of the family's 1533-position model. The record is from RNAcentral.